RNAcentral lists this ribosomal RNA (501 nucleotides) under uncultured Gammaproteobacteria bacterium. RNAcentral describes it as "bacterial SSU rRNA". It matches the Rfam family "Bacterial small subunit ribosomal RNA", at positions 383 to 873 of the family's 1533-position model. The record is from RNAcentral. Lineage: Bacteria; Pseudomonadati; Pseudomonadota; Gammaproteobacteria.
UGAAUCCAGCCAUGCGGCGUGAGUGAAAAAGGCCUUCGGGUUGUAAAGCUCUUUUGUCCGGAAAGAAAAGCAUCGGGUUAAUACCCCGGUGUUCUGACGGUACCGGAAGAAUAAGCACCGGCUAAUUUCGUGCCAGCAGCCGCGGUAAUACGAAGGGUGCAAGCGUUAUUCGGAAUUACUGGGCGUAAAGCGUGCGCAGGUGGUUCGUUAAGUCUGAUGUGAAAGCCCUGGGCUCAACCUGGGAAUGGCAUUGGAAACUGGCGGACUGGAGUGCGGUAGAGGGUAGCGGAAUUCCCGGUGUAGCAGUGAAAUGCGUAGAGAUCGGGAGGAACAUCCGUGGGGAAGGCGGCUACCUGGACCAGCACUGACACUGAGGCACGAAAGCGUGGGGAGCAAACAGGAUUAGAUACCCUGGUAGUCCACGCCCUAAACGAUGCGUACUGGAUGUUGGGUGCAUACUUGGCCCUCAGUAUCGAAGCUAACGCAUUAAGUACUCCGCCC